This 298-nucleotide long non-coding RNA is filed under the name Elaeis guineensis (African oil palm). Its description in RNAcentral is "long non-coding RNA (EGUI_LNC044223)". Lineage: Eukaryota; Viridiplantae; Streptophyta; Magnoliopsida; Arecales; Arecaceae. The record is from RNAcentral.
CCAGUCCAUGAUCGUGAGAAGUGCACACACAGCCUAUGGGCAUACGUUGCCUCUUGCAUGAAGAUGAGAAGUGUAUACGCUACCUCUCGUGUGAAGAUGAGAAGCCUACAAGCACAUGCUGCCUCUCGCACAAAGACAAGAAGUGUGUACGCUACCUACAAACAUACGCUGCCUCUCACAUGAAGAUGAGAAGUGCACAUACUAUCUACAGGCACACGCUGCCUCUUGCAUGAAAAUGAGAAGUGCACAUGCUGCCUCUUGUAUAAAAAUGAGAAGUGCACAUGUUGCUCUGCUCGCA